This 245-nucleotide ribosomal RNA is filed under the name uncultured bacterium. Its description in RNAcentral is "partial 16S ribosomal RNA". It matches the Rfam family "Bacterial small subunit ribosomal RNA", at positions 524 to 768 of the family's 1533-position model. The record is from RNAcentral.
UACGAAGGUGGCAAGCGUUACUCGGAUUUACUAGGCGUAAAGGGCAGGUAGGCGGUUUGGUUAGUCUGUUGUGUAAGCUCCCGGCUUAACCGGGAGAGGUCAACAGAUACUGCCAGGCUGGAGUAUGGGAGAGGGUACUGGAAUUCCCGGUGUAGCGGUGAAAUGCGCAGAUAUCGGGAGGAACACCAAUGGCGAAAGCAGGUACCUGGACCAUUACUGACGCUCAGCUGCGAAAGCUAGGGGAG